UUCCAUUUAAGAGUGAUUAAUGGAUAAAACCAGAACUACUAACUCAUGACUUUACCUCAUUCCCUCAGACUACCAAUGCAACUGGUUUGACCAAGAGAAGUCAAAAGCCGCCAAUACUUGAAGCCUCCUGGAGAAUGAAGAACCCUUAUAGCCUUCAAAAGGUAGGAGAGAACCAGACUGGAAGACAGACUCAGACACUAAAAUCCAUGAGGGUGUCUGAAGAAAAGUAUGCGAGGGUAGUCAUAAUGGGAUAGCAGUAUUUUAGGUAAUCUCUUGAAGGAACACCUUGGAGUGGAUUCUAGAGUUCGAUGCAGAUGUGCGGAGCAUAAGAACUACCCUUUUCCCUGGGACAGGCCACUUCCUCUUUCACGUGCACAGCAUAACCUCUCCUAUCCUAUCAAAAUGGGAAGAAGCUAUCACCAAGGUUUACCUCCAAAUACUUCUGCACCCUGCCAAAGUCUGACAUUCACUAGUGGGAUAUUUCUCUCAAUCAAGAGAUUAUGGAAUAGUAGAAUUAACAAAGACAUUUCAGUUGUACAACUGGCAAGUACAAUAAAUACUUUGGCACCAAAGCAUUUCAUCUAAACCCACUGCCUGCACAGAUCCUCAUGUUUUGCCUGCCAACCUGAGACAAAAAUGGGAAGGAAGCAAAACAUUGGAGAAAAACAUGGUCUGACACAGACAGACUUGGACACAAAGAAUUCUUCUUAACUUAUGCUGCAGUGCAGACUAGUAUGGCUUAGUUGUUGUCGGCUACAAAGGCAGCAAAGUCUCAGCACUUAGCUUUUUUGGAGAACAAAUCGCUGUGUAACAAUGCCUUCAUGCAACAUCAGAACCUGUCAGUGACUGGGUGUGAGUGGUAUGGCCUAAUGGUUGGAGCAAGUGUCUGGCUUACCAAUUAGAGUUAGAUCUAGAUGGGGUGGAUUCAGGAGCAAGAUUAAGGGUUAGAGCCAGAAGUCAGAAGCUGAAGUCGAAGGGUUAAUCUGGGUCACAGUCAGAAAGUGAAGCCAAGGGACUGUAGGGUGACCAGAUGACAAAAACAAAAUAUUGGGACACAUGGGGGGAGCAGGGUGCCGCUGAAACGCUCCCCUCGCCCCCACCCCAAAAAAAGCCAAAGCGCCACCGAGGCAGUCUAAUGUUUAACCGACUCAAAACAAAGUGUUUUGUGUCAGUUCAACAAACUGAAAUAUUUCAUGGUUCAUUAUUUUCUCCUGAUAUUUCUAGACUAGAGUGUAUUCCAUCCUCCCUUCCAAGAUCCCAUGGAUACUCCAUGAAAGGUAGGGAACCUGGUGUAGAAAGUAAUUAAUAUCUCUGAAAUGUCUGAGAGGUUAGGAGGCAAGAAAUAAUUAGCAGUGAAAGAAGCAAAAGUAGAUGGUUAAUACGACACCUUGAGCCAGAUCCUCAUUUGGUAUAAAUCAGUCUACCUCCAUUGACUUCAACUGAGCAAUGCCAGUUUACACUAGCUGAGGAUCUGUCCUUUAUAUUUAUUAUAUCAUCUUUCAACCCACUGAAAGGGAUGAUCAAAGGUAGGAUCCUUGGCCCCACAGGCAGAGAGUACCAAAAUAUAAAAGUGGUGAAAUGCUAUGGCCUAUGCUAUGCAGGAGGUCAGUGUAGAUGAUCAUUAUGGUCUCUGCUGGUUUUAAAUUUUAUGAAUAUAUCAGGCAAAGGCAGAGUAGCAGUCAGGGUUAUAGGACACAGCUAAUAGCUGAAGUGCAGCCACCUGCCAUGUGGGACAGAACUGGAGGACAAGUUUUUCUGGGGAAGGGGUGAGACUUAAGGUAGGAGGAAAAAUUUGUAAGGCAAUCCCCAAGUUUUGGCGGAUUCAGGACUUGUUUAUUCUUCUUCCAACUCUGCCAGGAACAUUCCAAACUUAUUUGCAAACUAUAUACAGUUUUUAGGGAUUACUCAUCAACUACUGAAAUCCUCUACGUCAAGGGUGAACACAGCAUCUGUUCUGUGCCAGCAAUAUUACCCAAUUGUAUUUAGCUGUUGGAGGAACUUAAACUAAACAUGCAAGAAUCCUGCUGGGAUACAAGAUUGUUGAUCUUUAUUAGUGUUUAAAAUGUCCCCACCCUUUUAACAGAUUCAGCAACAUCAACUGGUACUCGCAGGUAGCCUCUGGAGAUAUAGGUUCUUAUUACCCUUACCCUUAUCCUCUCUGUCACUGGUUGCAUCUUGUCUUGAAUGAGAUUUUAAGCUCAAAGGCAGAGAUCAUGUCUUUCUGUGUGUCUCUAUCAUGCUUAACCCAACAAGGCACCAAACAGGGCCAUGACUGGAACUUUCUCUUUGUA
Long non-coding RNA from Mauremys mutica (yellowpond turtle), 2291 nucleotides. RefSeq lists it as uncharacterized. The record is from RefSeq and is a predicted model, not a curated record. The transcript has 2 exons. Lineage: Eukaryota; Metazoa; Chordata; Testudines; Geoemydidae.